AGUGAACGCUGGCGGUAGGCCUAACACAUGCAAGUCGAACGGCAGCACAGUAAGAGCUUGCUCUUACGGGUGGCGAGUGGCGGACGAGUGAGGAAUACAUCGGCAUCUACUUUUUCGUGGGGGAUAACGUAGGGAAACUUACGCUAAUACCUCAUACGACCUACGGGUGAAAGCAGGGGAUCUUCGGACCUUGCGCGAUUGAAUGAGCCGAUGUCGGAUUAGCUAGUUGGCGGGGUAAAGGCCCACCAAGGCGACGAUCCGUAGCUGGUCUGAGAGGAUGAUCAGCCACACUGGAACUGAGACACGGUCCAGACUCCUACGGGAGGCAGCAGUGGGGAAUAUUGGACAAUGGGCGCAAGCCUGAUCCAGCCAUACCGCGUGGGUGAAGAAGGCCUUCGGGUUGUAAAGCCCUGUUGUUGGGAAAGAAAAGCAGCAGGUUAAUACCCCGCUGUUCUGACGGUACCCAAAGAAUAAGCACCGGCUAACUUCGUG
Molecule: ribosomal RNA, 492 nt
Filed under: uncultured bacterium
Lineage: Bacteria
Description: partial 16S ribosomal RNA
Rfam family: Bacterial small subunit ribosomal RNA
Source: RNAcentral